GGAAGGGCCAUCGCUCAACGGAUAAAAGGUACUCCGGGGAUAACAGGCUGAUACCGCCCAAGAGUUCAUAUCGACGGCGGUGUUUGGCACCUCGAUGUCGGCUCAUCACAUCCUGGAGCUGAAGUAGGUCCCAAGGGUAUGGCUGUUCGCCAUUUAAAGUGGUACGCGAGCUGGGUUUAGAACGUCGUGAGACAGUUCGGUCCCUAUCUGCCGUGGGCGCUGGAGAACUGAGGGGGGCUGCUCCUAGUACGAGAGGACCGGAGUGGACGCAUCACUGGUGUUCGGGUUGUCAUGCCAAUGGCACUGCCCGGUAGCUAAAUGCGGAAGAGAUAAGUGCUGAAAGCAUCUAAGCACGAAACUUGCCCCGAGAUGAGUUCUCCCUGACUCCUUGAGAGUCCUGAAGGAACGUUGAAGACGACGACGUUGAUAGGCCGGGUGUGUAAGCGCAGCGAUGCGUUGAGCUAACCGGUACUAAUGAACCGUGAGGCUUAACCUUACAACGCCGAAG
This 508-nucleotide ribosomal RNA is filed under the name Escherichia coli. RNAcentral's name for it is "partial 23S ribosomal RNA". It matches the Rfam family "Bacterial large subunit ribosomal RNA", at positions 2435 to 2925 of the family's 2925-position model. The record is from RNAcentral. Lineage: Bacteria; Pseudomonadati; Pseudomonadota; Gammaproteobacteria; Enterobacterales; Enterobacteriaceae.